RNAcentral lists this ribosomal RNA (254 nucleotides) under uncultured bacterium. RNAcentral's name for it is "partial 16S ribosomal RNA". It matches the Rfam family "Bacterial small subunit ribosomal RNA", at positions 524 to 776 of the family's 1533-position model. The record is from RNAcentral.
UACGUAGGGGGCUAGCGUUGUCCGGAAUCAUUGGGCGUAAAGAGCGUGUAGGCGGCCCGGUAAGUCCGCUGUGAAAGUCGGGGGCUCAACCCUCGAAUGCCGGUGGAUACUGUCGGGCUAGAGUGCGGAAGAGGCGAGUGGAAUUCCUGGUGUAGCGGUGAAAUGCGUAGAUAUCGAGAGGAACACCUGCGGCGAAGGCGGGUUGCUGGGCUGAUAACUGACGCUGAGGCGCGAAAGCCAGGGGAACGAACGGG